AAGAGUGCAAUGAUGAAGCAUUUUUUUGUGGACUAGAGUUUCUGAUCUGGGAAUCUCUCCUAGAAGUUGAAGACUAACCCUUGGCUGUCUGAGUACUCUU
This 100-nucleotide small nucleolar RNA is filed under the name Manihot esculenta (cassava). RNAcentral's name for it is "Small nucleolar RNA Z157/R69/R10". It matches the Rfam family "Small nucleolar RNA Z157/R69/R10". Rfam says of the family: Z157, R69 and R10 are members of the C/D class of snoRNA which contain the C (UGAUGA) and D (CUGA) box motifs. Most of the members of the box C/D family function in directing site-specific 2'-O-methylation of substrate RNAs. Lineage: Eukaryota; Viridiplantae; Streptophyta; Magnoliopsida; Malpighiales; Euphorbiaceae. The record is from Rfam by way of RNAcentral.